ACAUUGGUGAUUCAGUAGUAGAUUUCUUCCUUCCAUGCAGGAGACCUGGGUUUGAUUCCCAGCCAAUGAA
RNAcentral lists this transfer RNA (70 nucleotides) under Loxodonta africana (African savanna elephant). It matches the Rfam family "tRNA". Rfam says of the family: Transfer RNA (tRNA) molecules are approximately 80 nucleotides in length. Their secondary structure includes four short double-helical elements and three loops (D, anti-codon, and T loops). Further hydrogen bonds mediate the characteristic L-shaped molecular structure. tRNAs have two regions of fundamental functional importance: the anti-codon, which is responsible for specific mRNA codon recognition, and the 3' end, to which the tRNAs corresponding amino acid is attached (by aminoacyl-tRNA synthetases). tRNAs cope with the degeneracy of the genetic code in two manners: having more than one tRNA (with a specific anti-codon) for a particular amino acid; and 'wobble' base-pairing, i.e. permitting non-standard base-pairing at the 3rd anti-codon position. Lineage: Eukaryota; Metazoa; Chordata; Mammalia; Proboscidea; Elephantidae. The record is from Rfam by way of RNAcentral.